UUCUUUGGGCGGCGAUGGGAGGGAGGCUUCGGCCUGCCGGAGUCUUUGGUAACCGGUCUGUCAACCCACUCAUUUGCCGCCCACCCUG
This 88-nucleotide non-coding RNA is filed under the name Herbaspirillum sp. Sphag64. The record is from RNAcentral. Lineage: Bacteria; Pseudomonadati; Pseudomonadota; Betaproteobacteria; Burkholderiales; Oxalobacteraceae. RNAcentral also lists the same sequence under 1 other name.